RNAcentral lists this long non-coding RNA (14362 nucleotides) under Pelobates cultripes (western spadefoot toad). Lineage: Eukaryota; Metazoa; Chordata; Amphibia; Anura; Pelobatidae. The record is from RNAcentral.
CCCCUCUUUACUUUUGUUUGACAAAACAUAUUAUGCACCUUCAAAGUGUUAAUAAUGUUGAAUAAAAUUCCCAAUAAAAUCCAUUUAACUUCCAGGUUGUAAUACUCCAAAAAUGUUUUGUUCAAUAUUCAAUGCGUUUAGUUCUUAAAACAUCAAAUCCUCUCACAUUUAUUUGGCCAUGUCUCUUUUGUUUGUUACAUUAACCAAACCUGUAUAAUCUUAUAAUAGCAAAAUAUUCCAGAUUUCUAUUUGUCUCCAAUGCAAACAAUGCAUUACCUCUAUUAGCAAAUGUAACAUUAAAGAAUAUAUAUGCAAGUUGAAGUACACUGUUCAUUCUAAUGUGCUCCAUUACCCAGAAUUCUCUGCUACCUCAGAAGUCUACUAAUUUGCACAAUGUAAUUUAUAAUCUAUUGUGAAACUUGACUGGGACAAAACGGAUACAUUCGGCAUACUGAUUCAGUAUUAAUUGGCUUUUUUAGUUUUUCUUACACAUAUAUCCCUACGAAUGUAGUUUAUGAAAGUAACACUGUGCAGUAGCAGAAAGGAGCUGUCUUUAUCAAAUAGAAACAUAGAAUGUGACGGCAGAUAAGAACCAGUCGGCCCAUCUAGUCUGUCCACUUUAUUAAAUACUCUUAUUAGUCCCUGGCAUUAUCUAAUAUCUAGGAUAGCCUAUCCCACGAAUGCCUUCACUGUGUUAACCUCUAACACUUCAGCUGGAAGGCUAUUUCAUGCAUCUACUACCCUCUCAGUAAAGUAAUACUUCCUGAUAUUUUUAAACCUUUGCCCUUCUAAUUUAAAUGAACAUGAAUGAACAUUAAAACAAUUAGAUUAUCUAGUAUCUACAUACAUAUGUUACACAAGGCAACUAAUUCACCAAUUUAAAAUUGAUAAAAUAAAAUAAAAAUACAAAUGUAACACCUUAGGAUAAAACAAACAAAGUAAAUUAAAUUUGGGAUUAGAGGGCUAAAAUUAAUUUUAAGUAUCAGCACACAAAGUUAGUCUCUGAUCUGUCUCUCCACUUCACAGCUCACAUCGAGGUGGAAUGAGGCGGUCAAGAUAUCCCAGCAUCACUGUGAUUGGCUGUCACAGAGAUCACAUGUACUGGGACCAGACCAUUUGCCAUUGCUGAUCUGCCUCAGGCAUUGAGGCACACCGUAAUAGCAUUAACCCCACGAUCGCCGCAAUCUGGCAUUAAUUUUAGUACAUGACGGAAUUAUUCAGUCAUGGGUCCUCUUGGCGCGGACUGUCAUGACGGAAUACUUCCAUCACUGGUACAUCAAGCAAUCGUAUUAUAUAGCAUGUACAUAAUUAGGCAUUUUAGGACAGUAUUAUAUUACAUGUGAGCAAAUUUACAUAUUUGUGUUUUAAGAAAUUUAAACAGAUUAUAUACAGCAGGUAGUCCUGGCAGAAAGCAUGUCUUGUUUUGUAAUAUAUACACAGUUUCAUAAUUUUAGGUCUGUGCAAAUGGUAUAAUCAUGCAUAUUAUUAAGUGAAUAGCAGCAUGUCGGCCCUCUCCAAUCUCAAUGUAAAGAGUUGUUACGUAAUACACAUUUCAUCAGGGUUUAAAGGGAUCCAACUAAAAUAUGCAGCAGGUCAAUUUGUGCAAAAAACAAAGAUCUGUCUAAUAUAAACCAACUGAAUCCCAUAGGCUAAACAACGUAUUGUUAUGGAUUGUAUUAACCCACUUUAGUCAAAGGGUUAAUGAGGCUAAAAGCAAUAAAUUAUGUGAAAUAUUAUAUGCAUACCAUCAUAGAAUGUUGACACUAUGCCAUUUACAUUAGACCACCAUAUGUUUAACAUCUUUAAAAUCUCAUUGAAUUAAUCAUAUGAACUAAGCAACCCCCUAAAUACCCUCCUGUGACAUCCCAGGUUUCAUACAAUGGAGACAGAACAUGUCCAGAUUUCUGUGUCGUUACAGCCAAUACUUUACUCAAUGUCCCAAUUAAUAGUUAUAUUGCCUAAAGUGUCCUGGCGCUGUCCCUCAAUUCAAUAUUGUACCAUUUAGGAAUGGUUUGAAAUAAAAAAUGCUUCCACAUUGAUAACAAAUUGUAAAUUUAUUACCAACCUGAAUAACACAGAUUGGAUGACAGUGCUGGGGAUGGGUUAGCGCAGCACUGUCAGAAGGUUAAUAUUGCCCAGGUCGGAAGCAUGAGACAUUGAUGAUGUGGUUGUGUUACUUUAUCAAUGCAGCCAUGAUUGGGUGGAACCAUGGGUAAUGACAAGUCUCACGAUUUGGGUCAAACCAUUCCAAAAUAGCUUGACAUUCAACCAGGGGCCAGCGCCAGGGCACUCUAGAUAACAUAACAACUACAGCACAUUGUAGUAGUUUUGUUAGAGCGGCCCUUACUGUAGUAGUUAUGGUAAAGUGCGCCUCUAAUGCUAGAUGGAAUGUAUUUCAGUGUUGGAACAUUUUAUAUGAAAAAUUAAACAUGUUAGUAAAACGUUUAGUCUAAAUAUGUUUGAUGGCUUCAGUAUUAGUUUAAAGAUUUUUUUAACCUUACUAUUCACAUAUAUGAAGAUAUCAUGUCCAUUUUAAUAUAUGCUCAUAAUAUGUGAAAUAAUUUUCACAGUUCCAUAAUCUCAGAAGCUCACUUCCUUUCGUUUUAGCAAGAUCCUGACCUUAUACAACUCUGCCACGGUGUGAAGUGUGAGAGGUAUUGGGGGGCAUUUCUUAAACAGCCACCUUGUAUUUUCCAAGUAAAAUGCCUCUUAGUUUAAUUAUGCUUCCAAAUAGCACUGAGAUACGUCCCUAGAGACAGCAUGGAUAUAGUAUGGAUAGACUAGCCUCAGGCAUUGAACAGAUGGACAACUGUUUUCAGGUUGCGUUUUUUUUUUUCUUCUAAUUAUUCUAAAUAUUCAUACCAAACUCAAAUGUAAUUCUGAAAAACAAGGGUACAUUUAAAAAGGACAUAAUUAUGCACUUACAUGGCAAUGGCCCUUGGCUUAGAGGACCACUAUCGGCACCCAGACCCCUUCAGCUCAAUGAAGUGGUCUGGGUGCCAGGUCCCCCUAAUUUUUACCCUGCAGCUGAAAACAUAGCCGUUUCAGAGAAACGGCUAUGUUUACACUGCAGGGUUAAUCCAGCCUCUAGUGGCCGUCUCUCUGACAGCCACUAGAGGCUACUACCGCAAUUUACACAGAGUAAAUUGCACUUAUUUGACGCUGGACGUCCUCACAGAGUACACCGUCAAAUAAGAUCCCCGUAGGAAAGCAUUGACUAAUGCUUUCCUAUGGGUGGGUUUGAAUGUGCGCACGCCUCUGGCCGUGCAUGAGCAUUCGGCUCCACUCGGGAGCUGACAUUGAUGGAGGAGUAAAGGUCACCAGUGCUAAAAGGAGCCCGGCGCUGGUUUAAGGUGAGCAAAUAAAUGGUUAACCAUUUAUUCAUCGCGGAACGGGGCCCUAGUCAACUAAACAGUGACUAGGGCUCUAUAGCGUUAGGAAUACAUUUUUGUAUUCCUAAUUCUAUAGUGUUCAUUUAAUUCAGAUUCUAUUUUUUCUAACCUCUUGGUAUAGGGCCUUUAGGGACAAAUUGUGAUUGGGAUAUUAAAUAUCGUUGAUCACCAAGGUGUUAAAACAUUUUUCUACUCUAUACAAGUGAAAUGUAGGAGGAACACAUUUUAAUAAAAAAAAUAUCACUUUUAAUCUUUGAGAUUGAAAGUCUGUGGACUAUGUAACUUCAGUAAAAAUAUUCCUCUCACUAUGCGACUGUUAACAGAAUGAAAAGGGUCUGUGCUGAUGCACGGGAAUCAGAAUGGAAUUUGGAAGCCAACAACCUGUAUUCGGUCCCAUAUCAGGAAAGCAACACUGACAGGUGAAUUGUUAUGCUCAGCAAGAUAUCUUUGCACUUUAUCUUUAAAUACACCAGGGCAUAUCUACAAAAAUUAUUUGUGUGAUGAAAUACUAUUGAAAACGUGUGCGAACAUUCUAUUGCAUUCCAUGAAGAUGCAUCACGUUUUGAACUUUGGGGCAAAGUUAUAAGCAUGCAGCAAUCUCUAUGGAAACAAAUGCAAUUCUCUUUCUGAUUACAGAUGAUGGCACAUUGCCAAACAGGCAUUAUAAUAAUCCUCAGUAGAGGUAAUUCAAUGGCCACCAGUAGUAUAAGCAUAUCUAUUUCAUUGAGUGUUGCUUGAUCCACAUAUCGAAGUACGUUGAGUUUUUACAUUUCGCUGGAGUUCUGCUCGUUUCUGGUAAUCUGUUUUCUCUCCGUCUGAAAAAUAAGCAAGUCAUAUUCUGAUUAGUAUAAAAAAAUUUAAAAAAAAAUUAAAAAAGAAAAUCACUGAAAAAACAAAACAUAAUGCCUAAUAAUUACAAGAAUCUACCUUACCAAAAGAAAAAUAAAUAUGGCUAUUAACAUCUAGAAUCGGACAUUAUCAGGCCAUGCUCUGAUCCAUAAAAAAUCUGCAUGUGCCUAAAAAUGCAGAAAUAUAUUUUAUGCUAAAGGACUGGAACAAGAUGGAACAACCAAACUCUAAACACAUUAAACAUAAUGGCAUACACUGAUACAAUAUGCAGUCUGAUAGAUUUCACAGUGGAAAUGUUCCAGUGUGAUGAAGGCUCCAUGAAGAAUCUUGUUUUGAUACAGUCGAGAGGAAAGCAAGUCAUCUUUUCUUUACAGGAAUAAUCUGUUUUGUACUGAGUUACAGACCCCAAAGAGUUAAAGGGACACUAUAGUCACCUGAACAACUUCAGCUUAAUGAGGUUGUUCAGGUGAGAACUAUAGCUCCCUGCAGCCUCUCAUGUAAACACUGUAUUUUCUGAGAAAAUACAGUGUUUACAUUGAAAGCUAGGAACACCUCCAGUUUCAGUCACUCAGAUUGAACCAGAGGGACUUCUGAGUUGAUGGAGGCAUAAUAUGCUUUCAUCCACUCAGAUCUGCUGUGCAUGAGCAUCCUGUGAUUCAGUAUCUCCUCCCACUGCAUGCAGACACUGAACUUUCCUCAUAGAGAUGCAUUGAUUCAAUUCAUCUCUAUGAGGAGAUGCUGAUUGGCCAGGGCUGUGUUUGAAUCAUGCUGGCUCUGCCCCUGAUCUGCCUCCUUGUCAGUCUCAGCCAAUCCUAUGGGGAGGCACUGUGAUUGGAUCAGGUUAUCACAUGUCAGCAGACUGCUUGUUUUUCCUGAGUCUAACAGUAUGCAGAUUUACAGCUUCUGGCUUGAAUACAGUAAGAUUUUUACUAUAUUUAUGGAGGCAUGAGGGGCCAAGGGGGGCUAGAAGGUCGUGUUAACACUAUAGGGUCAGGAAUGUAGUUGCACUGGUGACUAUAGUGUCCCUUUAAUGACCCCCAGCAGUGCUCCUCAAUGUGGCAAACUUAUUUAAAGGCCAACUGUCACCAAAUGUUUUAAUUAUAAGAAUCCUUGCACAAUGUAAUGAAAAUAUUUUUUUUGUGUGAAGUGUAUGUAAAAAUACCUAAAGAUCUGGCCCCUACUUCCACAAAACACUAGAUCCCUCUGCCAUAUUCAUACACUUUGGGUCAGGCUGAGAUAGAAUUCUACUGGAUGAGUUUCGGACCAUCAUAGAUUUACGCAUCUGAACCAAAGUUACAGAAUCGGUCAGACUGACUGAAUUCUGACCGACGUUGGCUUUAGUAAAUAUGAGAAUUGCCAAAGUGGCCAGAUUUCGACCACACAGAGCGAUGGCUGAUGAUAUCACCACACUGUGCAGGGAGUGAAGCAGGAGCUUAACGGUCGGAUUCUACCUCAAUCUGACUGAAGGUGUAUGAAUAUGGCAGAGGGUUCUAGUGUUCAGUGAAAGUAGUGCCAAGAUUUUAGCUAUUUUUACAUAUACUUACAGUAAUUAUAAAGAAAAUGCUAAAUCCUUUCAUUACAUGUUGCAAGGAUUCUUAUAAUAAAAAAUGUAAAAAAAAAAUUCAGGUGCCAGUUGUCCUUUAAGGGGCACAAUCGUCAGAAUCACUGAUGGAAUGUCUCAAAAAAAUACUCUACCCCAACUUGACACCUAUAGACCACCUCUUCCUCAGCCAUUUUGAUAAUUUAAAAUAUAAGUUUCUGUGUUAUCAGUAUCAAUUGUGUCCAACUUGUAUUUAAGAACAUUGGGCUACCUAUCCCCUGGUAGCAUACAUCAUGCAUUAUCACAGUGGUUGAAUAGAGGGCAGUAUAUGGGUUCUGGGAGAACCCAGAUUUUGUCAAACUAUUACUAAAUAGUUUGACCAUAAAAUAAAACAAACAGGAGAUGGUGUCCAAAGACUUAAAGCACUAUAACUACUAAAUGAGAUGUGCAGUUAUGGUGCUUAUAGUAUUCCCUGAAGCAGCAAUAAACCUACAACCUGUUUUAAUCAUUUCAUAUAUUGUCUAUAUGUAGGCUCAUUGCAUAAUAAAAAAAAUCUUCAUUUAAAUAAUUGUGGCAAAGGUAACCUCACCACUUGUACUUGGAGAGGCCUGAUUGCCAGCCUCUUGCCCCUCGACUAUGGCCCCUGGGAUGUAUUGCCCUUUAACAGCUCUAUUUGGGCUUAUUGGAUUGUAAAAUACUCUUUCGGCACUUUUAAUUAUAUUGGAGCAGUUCUACAACUUUGAAGUGGCACUUCGGAUUCAGCCGAAGUAGUCGAAAUGGCUGCCAUUCGACAAAUGAACAUGUGACGGCGGCCAUUUUAAUUCAGUUCACUGUGUUCAGCGGUGUUUCGUCAUCAAGUUCACAGAACUCAAAUCGGACAUGCAACGGCAAGAACACCCCUUAACUUUACCUUCUCCAGACUUCAACUCAUUUGACUGGAGUCGAACACCGUUCGACAAAUUGAACAGUCGGUUAACAUUGACUGUUUGCACGAACGGUUGCUGUUCGUCUAUUUGAACUGAACUUAACAUGAGAAAUAGACUGGCCGCACAGCCAAAUUCUCUGGAACGGUUUUGGGCAUGACAUCAUGCGUGCGGUCGGUCAAAAAGAUUUCCAUGGAACUUUUGAACCCCUCCUUUGAUCUGGGUGAUUUUUGGAUAUGUUGCUCACCCAGAUCAGAGCUAUCCAGCGAUAUAAUAUUUAUGGGGGUAUCUUCUGUUUUGGGGUGUUUUCUGGACUUUGGGGAAAAUGUGUGUUUUUCAACCUGUGGAUAAUUAGGUUAGUGUGUUAGCUGUUUUAAUUAUAUCAAGGGCAGAGGGGAGGGCUUGUUUCUGUAUGUGGGAGUGUCGGUCGUUACUACAGUGUUCUUAUUGGUUUGUAUUGUGUGCCUGUGUACCAUUGGUCCAGGGGGUGUGCCUCUGGCCUGAAAAACUGUAUAAAUUGUGAGUGCUUGCUGCCACUAAACAGACCUGCUUUAGCCCUUCAUGAAGUCUUGGCUCAUGUUUGGAGGAUUGGAGAACUACCCUCUUGGGGAUUGCUAUAAUCACACUAUACUCCCCAGAGUAAGCUCUUGUAAGAGCUUGUUCCUGCUGCGUUCUCUGGAGAAAGAUAGGUCUGCCCACUGGAAGCUGGAUCCUGGCCUUGGGUCCAGGGUGGGUGGAGGACGGCGAGACCCCGGCACAGCUGCAUCGCUGGAAGUGGGGUCUGCAGUGCUGAUGGUGUCGGUUGGAGUGCUUGGAGUCCUUGGAAAGCACUAGGAGCAACGAUUGACGGAGGUACUCGGUCAGAGUGCCAGGUGGUCCGUCACAAUAAUUAAUAGUGCAGAGUUCAAUUGCCAUUCGCAAAUUAGAAAUUACAAAGAAUGUCUGAGAAUCAUAGAAGCUGAGCACAGCAGAUGGAGCAGAAAAGGUUAUGCAUUACAGAGGAAGAGAAAGAAGUAAAAUGUUUCUAAGUCAAAUCAUGCAUUCUAAGUGACCGGUGAGUUCCACUGCAUAAUAAGUGUUACAUCUCUAUAAUUUUUGUACAAACUGAAAUUUUUACAUUGUAAGGUAAAUACAGAUCUAGUUGCCGUCUUCCUGACAGCCACUAGAGGCGCUUUUGCUGCACUAACAGAAGCUCCUAGGAAAGCAUUGCAUUUUAAGCUUCACUCUGUGAAGCGUUUGGAUGCUUGCGUGACACAAAUCAGUUUCCAAUGCUCCUCUACAAGGCAUACCACCAGUGCAGCGGUAAAGGCAAGGAAAUUUUUUUGUGUGUGUUUUUACUGGAAACAGGAGACAAAUAAUGCACUAUGACUAUAGUAUUAGGAAUACAGGUUUGUAUUCCUAACACUAAAGUGUUCCUUUAAUCAACUUUUACCAAAUUCAUAUCAAUAGCAAAACUAUCAUCACCAUGAAAUAGAGAAUUCGGUUACUAUUGAUUACUAUUGACACUUUUUGUGAUCGAAAAUAAAGUUAAGGCUAACCAAGAAAAGCCAGAUAAUUUCUAAUGGACACUGAGCAGAUGAGUAAUCUGUUAAAUAGUAACUGAUGCAUUAGCAGCAUCCAUGGACAUAUGGUUUCAUGGAAAUGAGAGCGUUCGUUACAGAACCGAGAUGGCUAGCAUUGAAAAUGCAGAUGUUUGUGAUGCAAAUGUCACAUGAUGCUCAGUGAGCUUCAUGGUAAAUGUAUCUCAAACAUCAGCAGUGCCACGAUUAACCAUCAAUGUUCUAUAACUGGAACAUGUUGCCAUUGUGGAAUUUUUCUAAUCUCUAAUUUAUUGAUUAAACAGCAAAAGACAGUAAAUAGAAAAUUCCAUUGCAAAAAAACUAUGCAGUUACAUCAAGCAUUUUUUUUUUAACUGUGUAUUGCAGCCUGCUACCGAUGCCUGCUAAGAAUCCCUGUAGUGUACUCCAUACUCUUGACCAUCAAUGGCUGGUAGAAUGGGGAAAUGAAGUUUAACCUACAAAGGUUCCUGUUGAGAGUGGGAGACAUGAAUUGCAAAUCAAAGAAAUAGAACACCUUACGAUUCUUGAAGCUAAAAGACUCCCCACUGUAUUCCAUGCUUGGUGAGGUCAGCCAGGUCAGUGAGAGUGAGCUUGGGUUAGGUAAUGGAUGAAAAUAUCUACAUAUUUAUUUACUGGCUUAUUCACCAAACUUUUAGUGAAUUAAAUCAGCAUAGUAAAAAUGUAGUAAAAUAAUUGCGGUUUUGAAGAAAUUCUACACUAUAGUCACGGCUUGGCUAUAUUUGUCUAUAUUUUGACAUUCAGAUUUAAUUUGCUACAAUUCUUAGUUUUACAAUGUAUAAAAACCUCCCAACUAACAACAACAUACUCCUGAACGGCAAGUACUUGCCAAAGACAAAUGGUGUCAAUUUCCUAUACAAACUGUUUGCUUUUAAAGAAAUGUUAAUUAUUUUCAUAUAUUUUUUAAAAUAAAUAAACAUCUCAAAGUAUGGCAUCUAAAAACAAAUAUCAAAGAAAUCACUAAAGCAAAUUUUAAACCAAAUUCAGUUUUUUGCUAGCGAAUUAAAUUCUGACAUAUCAAUGAAUCACUGAUUAUAGUUUUGAAAAGCAAAUAAUUGUAUUGGUUUUGAAGGGGGUUGUACACUGAGCAGAUGGAAGUCUAUUCAAUUAAGAAAUGUAUAAUUACUCUACAUGUUGGCUGUAUUUUGCAGCAACAAAUAAAUUGGUUUAUGUUGGCUCUUUGACUACCAGUCUCUUAAAUAUGCGCAUACAUGUACAGUAUGUGUGUGUGUGUGUAUAUAUAUAUAUAUAUAUAUAUAUAUAUAUAUAUAUAUAUAUAUAUAUUCCUAACCCUAGAGUGCUAAACACACCACUUAGGUGGUUCCCCCCCCCCCAUCAUCCCCCUAUAAAAGUUUAAAACUCACCUUAUUUACAGCGCUGCGUGAGUCCGCCAGCACUAGCUCCGCCCCCUUUGUGACAUCGAAAUGGACGAUUGUUAGCCAAUCCAAUGCUUCACGGGGUGGGGCCAAAUGCCGUUUUGGCCAAUCAGGACCUGCUCAUAGAGAUGCAUUGAAUCAAUGCAUCUCUAUUAGGAAAAUUCAGCGUCUCAUGCAGAGCGUGGGGACACUGAACAGCGGGGCUACUUACUGUGCAGCCCUGAGCCAGGAAGCAUCUCCAGUGGCCAUCUGAGGAGUGGCCACUUGGAGGUGUUCCCAGAGGAAAUGUAAACACUGCCUUUUCUCUGAAAAGCCAGUGUUUUCAUUAAAAUGCCUGAAGGCAAUGAUUAUACCCACCAGAACAACUACAUUAAGCUUUAGUUGUUCUAGUGACUAUAGUGUCCCUUUAACAAAAGGUUUUACCCCAAAUGUUUGAAGGCCGUGCCUGAUCGCCAAUUGUAGCCUUGGCCUAAGAAAAGACGUAGAGGAGCAAAGUGAUCGGGUGCUGUCUUCCAAACUAUUAAACAGUUUAAGUCCUUAAAGUAAGACGGCAUCUGGGAUCUUCUUGACUAUAACAACUUCAUUACUUUAGGCGGAUUAUCUAAAAUGCAAGAUUAUUCACUAAAAAAUAAAUUGUAGAGAGUUCAAAAAUUGAGGGAACAAUAGCUAAUUUGAAAAAGUUUUUAGCUCAGUUACUAGUCCCAGCAUUUAACAUUCACUCCUAAAAAUGUCUCCAAAUCUUGCUAAAUGUGCUACUUAAGCAGAAUGUCCUUUAGUUUUAGUAUUGGUGGAAUAUGUUAAGCAAGCAAAGCAAUUAGUGUUUUCCUAAUUACAUACAUGUCUACCAUUAAGUAUGUUGGUCACUGAAAGCGAUUCUCUAGAGACUAGUUAGAAAAGUAUCAAUCCAAGGUGGGUGAAUAAUUUAUAAAUCCAGAUCUCACUGCAAUCUAUAUAAUGACUCACCAUUUUGACAUGAAACAUUAACAAGUUACUUAUCUUUUACAAGGCCAGAUGGUUCUUUGCUGAAACGUUUGUCCCUUCAACAGAAAUUUAGAAAACAUUAUCUUUACCAGAUCCAAAGACUGAACUUUAUUGAAACUAAAUGAAAAUGAAAUCCUUUAAGUAUUUAAAAUACCCAAAAGUUAGACCGUUGAUUUGAGUUGUGGACAUGGGUAGUAUAUGGUGGAUAUUUUGGUGACUACACUGUGGCCUAUUUAAUUAGUAAACCAUUUAGAACAAAAACAUAUUUUACACAAAUUCUUAAACACAUUAGCUAAAGGUUGAACAUAUUAGGGUGAAUUUUAGAAUUCUGUGAUACACUUAUACACAUUGCUCUGCAAUGCACUCAUACACACCUAGCUUUACUGAUACACAACACAGAUAUCGGAGCUAUUAGAAGAGGUGGAAAGAGGAUAUUGGAUUUUGAUCCCAGAUAUAGUGUUCUAUAGAGCAUAAAGUUGUGUUCUGCAGUAGAGAGAGAUUCUUUAUGUGGAUGCAUGACCAAAAUAAUUUGUAUUCGAGUUCUAGGCUUGAUUGUGGGGUGAUUACUGUCCAUGUUUACUCAGCAGUAGUAGGUUAAAGGUAGGGAAACUCUUGACCGUUUUGAUCUGUCAUCGGGGAUUAGGGGUGGAACCUUAGUACAAUACCCUGGGUGCAGAUCAUCUCCUUCCCAUAUAUUCUUGGCACAGUAACUCCAAGGGAUGACAUAGAUAUCACUCCCUCAACUUCUGGGAUACUGCAAACCUGCAUUUACAUGGAGAGGCCUGUUUCAUUGUAGCUAUACGAAUCUGUCUCUACAAAUCAGUGUCAGAGAAGCAACAUUGAGUUAAAUAAUCUAAGGUAUUUCGAUUAUUGAUUCUAAAACUUUAUAUGUUUGCACAAUGUUUAUUUAGUUCGUUAAUAAACCUAAAUUAUAUUUUUUAGAAUGAAUAACAAAGCAUGUAUCAUGGGAUUUCUAACGUAAUGUACGGAAAUUAUAGUACACAUAAGACCUUUUGCAGUAACAUAGGAAGUAGAAAGCAGACAGAUGGCAGAUGAUGAGUCCCAUUCAGGACUAUAAAACACUGUAGCAGGUGGGUAUUUUCUAAGCAGCGAAUUAGCUUUUCUUAUGUUAAUUCUGGUUUUAAACGCAUUAACUUUAAAGCACUGAGUGGACAAAUUCAGGUACAUGUAUCUCGCUGACCUUAAAUGGAGACAGAGCAGAUCAAAAUUAAUAACUAUACUAUAAAAGGUUCAGUAGUGAUAUUUAUAUUAAACAAUGUAUCUGAAAUGUUUGGAACAGUUAUUGAAUUGGCCUCUAACUUUUUUUGGUAAAAAUGUAUUUUGAAAUAAUUUCUAUUUUGCCACAUGGCUUCAUUCAUUACAGCACAAGAUCAUUACAAUGCCAGUCAUUUGCGUACAUGUUUUUAUAGCAUGGGGCUCAGCCGUGUGCCCCAAAUUUGACUGGCAGAUGCAACCUCAUUAUCUUAACUCUUUCAGUGAGAGGAGCAAAGUAAAGCUCUAAGCUGCACUAAUGAAAGGAAACAAAUGAAAGUACAUUUUAAACACAUAAAAGAAAAUUGUGUUUCUAUGAAAAGUGCUUAAAGGGACACUCCAGGCACCCAGACCACUUCUGCCUAUUGGAGUGGUCUGGGUGCCAACUUCCAUCACCCUUAACUCUGCAAGUGUAAUUAUUGCAGUUUUUAUAAACUGCAAUAAUUACCAUGCAGGUUUAAGUCCUCCUUUAGUGGCUGUCUAUCAGACAGCCACUAGAGGGAGUUCCGGGUUCUAAAAAUACAAAAAGGUUUAAACGACGCUGGACGUCCUCACACUAUGCAUGAGGACCUCCAGCGUUGCCGGAAUCCCCAUAGGAAAGCAUUUAAUAAUGCUUUCCUAUGGGGAGGUCUAAUGCGCGUGCGCCCAUUGCCACGCAUGCUCGUUAGGUCUCCCCCACCGGCUAAUGUCGGUGGGGGAGGAGAAGAGGCGGAGCCUGACCCAGCGCCGAGGGACAUCGGCGCUGGAUUCAGGUAAGUCACUGAAGGGGUUUUAACUACUUUAGCAACAUGGGAUAGGGGUGACAGGGAGGAGGGCACUGCAGGAUUCUGCCGUUGCAGGAAAACGGAAUCCCUAACGGUCAUCCUAUAUAUUAAAUUGUCACAGGAAAGAUCAAAGAAGCAAGAUGUGCCUAAAAUUUAAGCAAGUGAUAUGGUUUUCAAAGCCCAACAAAAGUGAAAAUGAAAUUUGACCAGAGCAAAGGAUAAGCAAAGCAGAGUGAGAAUUUCUAAAGCAAAAGCUGGUGCUAUGGGAUAAAAUACUAAAUAAGGAUCAAUAACUAUGAAAGAACCCACAGGUCUCUACAUUUAGCACUCUGCAUCCAGAACAGCACCUGCUUUGUGUUGAUAAAUCUCCCCCAUAUUAUGUAACAUGUGCUUUGGACAGUUUGAGGGACAGUCAAGGCAAGUGGCAGAUCAUAAUCAAUGUAGGCAACUUGUGUUUUGCUCUGGUGACUAGUAUAUUCUAAAAUACAUUUCUAGAAAAAAAUAUUUCAAAAUACACUAACUAAACAGGACUGUGCCAAGUUGUUAAAACUAAAACCUACGGAGUAUUUUUUAUUUAUUUAGUUAUUUUUUAAAUUUAUAUGCAUCGCUGACCCAUUACAACAAGUAAGCAGAUGUUUGAUCUUCCUCUACAGUUCUAGACACAGAAUAAAUGACUAGCCAUUUGUCUCCAAGCUAGGGAAGCAGAAUAAAUGUGAUUGCAUUUACAUGGUGGCCGUUGUAGAAAUCAGCUGUAAUUUAUUGUCCGGACAGAGUCGGAUAGCUUGCGCCCUACAGACGACAUCAAUAGCAUUCAUAACUUACACCAGACAGCAGUGUAAUAACUAUGCAAAUGAAGGACAGAUACAAUUUGCAUUAUUCCUGGAUUGGGGGGGUUAUGGGUGAGUGCAAAGAAAGAAGCAGGUACGAUACGAUGGCAUUAACAAAUGUAAAUGUGGCACACCCACAAAUGCAAUACAUGCCACAUAAUGGCAAAUGGAAAUGAUGAUGCUCUAUGGUAAAAACAGGAUUGAGGUAAAUGUGCUUUCAAAAGAAAUUCCAGUUUUAUGCCAUCUUUAUUCUUUAUCUUGGUUAUUUAGCACAAUGAGAGCCACAUCUAACACUCUUUUUUUGUAGAACUACAAAUCCCAAGGUGCCUCGCUGGUCUAAAACAAGAGUAGAAUUUCUGUUAUGUUAAAGCAGUAGGACCACUGUAGGCUCUGAUAGAAUACAACCUCACAUAUGGUUUGAUUGCUGCUUUGCAGUAUUUGGAGUUUGAUGUCAGCUAAAUUGCAGAUCUCAUGGUUACUGAGGAAUAGACCACAGGGUCUAGGUGUUUUGAAAAUGAAAAGGGAUAUUAGCAGUGAUAGCAAUGAUUUAAAAUGAGGUUCUUCAAUGUAUAGAUCCUGUUCUGUUUUUAUUUAAAAAAUAUUUCUAAAUAAGAAACAAAAGACAAAUCUCGAUAAAUGUGCUGAAGGCCGCAUUCGCAGGCAGAAACAACUCUCCAUGUAAAUAUUNNNNNNNNNNNNNNNNNNNNNNNNNNNNNNNNNNNNNNNNNNNNNNNNNNNNNNNNNNNNNNNNNNNNNNNNNNNNNNNNNNNNNNNNNNNNNNNNNNNNGAGGUAUUGGGGGGCAUUUCUUAAACAGCCACCUUUGUAUUUUCCAAGUAAAAUGCCUCUUAGUUUAAUUAUGC